RNAcentral lists this ribosomal RNA (460 nucleotides) under uncultured bacterium. RNAcentral describes it as "partial 16S ribosomal RNA". It matches the Rfam family "Bacterial small subunit ribosomal RNA", at positions 338 to 795 of the family's 1533-position model. The record is from RNAcentral.
CCUACGGGGGGCAGCAGUGAGGAAUAUUGGUCAAUGGACGAGAGUCUGAACCAGCCAAGUAGCGUGAAGGAUGACUGCCCUAUGGGUUGUAAACUUCUUUUAUAUGGGAAUAAAACGUUCCAAGUGUGGGAUUUUGUAUGUACCAUAUGAAUAAGGAUCGGCUAACUCCGUGCCAGCAGCCGCGGUAAUACGGAGGAUCCGAGCGUUAUCCGUAUUUAUUGGGUUUAAAGGGAGCGUAGGUGGAUUGUUAAGUCAGUUGUGAAAGUUUGCGGCUCAACCGUAAAAUUGCAGUUGAAACUGGCAGUCUUGAGUACAGUAGAGGUGGGCGGAAUUCGUGGUGUAGCGGUGAAAUGCUGAGAUAUCACGAAGAACUCCGAUUGCGAAGGCAGUUCACUGGACUGCAACUGACACUGAGGCUCGAAAGUGUGGGUAUCAAACAGGAUUAGAUACCCGAGUAGUC